UCGGGAAUUUUGGGCAAUGGGCGAAAGCCUGACCCAGCAACGCCGCGUGAGGGAUGAAGUAUUUCGGUAUGUAAACCUCGAAAGAAUGGGAAGAAUAAAUGACGGUACCAUUUAUAAGCUCCGGCUAACUACGUGCCAGCAGCCGCGGUAAUACGUAGGGAGCAAGCGUUGUUCGGAUUUACUGGGCGUAAAGGGCGCGUAGGCGGCGCGGUAAGUCACUUGUGAAAUCUCUGAGCUUAACUCAGGACGGCCAAGUGAUACUGCUGUGCUAGAGUGCGGAAGAGGCAACCGGAAUUCUUGGUGUAGCGGUGAAAUGCGUAGAUAUCUAGAGGAACACCUGAGGCGAAGGCGGGUUGCUGGGCCGACACUGACGCUGAUGCGCGAAAGCCAGGGGAGCAAACG
Molecule: ribosomal RNA, 402 nt
Filed under: uncultured bacterium
Lineage: Bacteria
Description: bacterial SSU rRNA
Rfam family: Bacterial small subunit ribosomal RNA
Source: RNAcentral